RNAcentral lists this ribosomal RNA (497 nucleotides) under Nocardioides sp. RNAcentral's name for it is "bacterial SSU rRNA". It matches the Rfam family "Bacterial small subunit ribosomal RNA", at positions 215 to 724 of the family's 1533-position model. The record is from RNAcentral. Lineage: Bacteria; Bacillati; Actinomycetota; Actinomycetes; Propionibacteriales; Nocardioidaceae.
UCGGCCAGGGAUGUGCUCGCGGCCUAUCAGCUUGUUGGUGGGGUAAUGGCCUACCAAGGCUUCGACGGGUAGCCGGCCUGAGAGGGUGACCGGCCACACUGGGACUGAGACACGGCCCAGACUCCUACGGGAGGCAGCAGUGGGGAAUAUUGGACAAUGGGCGGAAGCCUGAUCCAGCAACGCCGCGUGAGGGAUGACGGCCUUCGGGUUGUAAACCUCUUUCAGCACAGACGAAGCGCAAGUGACGGUAUGUGCAGAAGAAGGACCGGCCAACUACGUGCCAGCAGCCGCGGUAAUACGUAGGGUCCGAGCGUUGUCCGGAAUUAUUGGGCGUAAAGGGCUCGUAGGCGGUUUGUCGCGUCGGGAGUGAAAACCAGGUGCUUAACACCUGGCCUGCUUUCGAUACGGGCAGACUAGAGGCAUUCAGGGGAGAACGGAAUUCCUGGUGUAGCGGUGAAAUGCGCAGAUAUCAGGAGGAACACCGGUGGCGAAGGCGG